This is a long non-coding RNA of Nasonia vitripennis (jewel wasp), 634 nucleotides long. RefSeq lists it as uncharacterized. The record is from RefSeq and is a predicted model, not a curated record. NCBI's taxonomy places the organism in Eukaryota, Metazoa, Arthropoda, Insecta, Hymenoptera, Pteromalidae. The transcript is spliced from 3 exons.
GAGCACGCAUAUAUUUACAGGAUAGAUCUAUGGAUAGUUCUGCCGGUUCUGCGUCUUUUUUCAUUUUUUUGUGCCAAGUUGGUUCCUCUAAGGGCUGCCAACUUAUGUUACUGAUUCUGUAGUAUGAAUGUUGAUUUUGAGUGAAGAGCAGAAGAGAACACCGCAGUACAUCAUACACCGAGUAUAAUGGUUUCAAAAACCGAGGAUGAAAAAUUUUAUAAUGAUUCUGGAACUUCCGAAAUUUAAAAGCAUUGGAUUCCAUCAUAAAUAUACACAUGUAUUCGUAAUGACGUAUGAAAGUGUGCAAGAUACAAAAUUUUUGAAGUAUAGACGUAGGCCUGACCGCAAAUUCAGCAAUUAGAUGCAGCGUCGCGGCUCGACAGCUGCGCUAGCCCGCCGCCAUGUUUGACGGCACCAAGAUCUGCGUUUUUGCAUCUCGCGCGCUCGCGUGUUAGAUCAGCUGAUAUUGUCGUUGAUUAUGCCGUACAUUAAUUCUAUGUCGAUUAUAUUUAGAUUGACAGUUUUCAUCGCACGUUUAAUAUAACUGCUUUAACAACUACAUUUUAACAUACAAGAUGUUGAGAGAUUCGUUGUACAAUUUAAUCAAUAUAUCAAUAAACAAUUAAAUCUAAAU